ACUUCAAUACGGCCUAAACUUGGGAAUACUCAAGUACGGAGGAACCAAUCUUUUGGGGUUAAUCUUGCGCAAUCGCGCGGGAGGGAUGAGGAAGUCACUUCUCUGCCAUCCUACCCGUCAGCUAACUUCGUCGGCUAAAGCAGGGAAGGUCA
RNAcentral lists this small RNA (152 nucleotides) under Tumebacillus flagellatus. Its description in RNAcentral is "c-di-AMP sequence". It matches the Rfam family "c-di-AMP riboswitch aptamer (ydaO/yuaA leader)". Rfam says of the family: This family represents a conserved RNA structure found upstream of the ydaO and yuaA genes in Bacillus subtilis and related genes in other bacteria. The ydaO/yuaA element is thought to act as a genetic "off" switch for the ydaO and yuaA genes in its native state. It is believed that the element may be triggered during osmotic shock leading to activation of ydaO, a predicted amino acid transporter gene, and members of the yuaA-yubG operon which code for KtrA and KtrB K+ transporters. The record is from Rfam by way of RNAcentral. Lineage: Bacteria; Bacillati; Bacillota; Bacilli; Caryophanales; Alicyclobacillaceae.